This 309-nucleotide ribosomal RNA is filed under the name uncultured bacterium. Its description in RNAcentral is "bacterial SSU rRNA". It matches the Rfam family "Bacterial small subunit ribosomal RNA", at positions 28 to 334 of the family's 1533-position model. The record is from RNAcentral.
GAUGAACGCUGGCGGCGUGCUUAACACAUGCAAGUCGAACGAUGAAGCCCGUGCUUGCACGGGUGGAUUAGUGGCGAACGGGUGAGUAUCACGUGAGUAACCUGCCCUUAACUCUGGGAUAAGCCUGGGAAACUGGGUCUAAUACCGGAUACGACCAGUCACCGCAUGGUGUGCUGGUGGAAAGCUUUUGCGGUUUUGGAUGGACUCGCGGCCUAUCAGCUAGACGGUGGGGUAAUGGCCUACCGUGGCGAUGACGGGUAGCCGGCCUGAGAGGGUGACCGGCCACACUGGGACUGAGACACGGCCCAG